This 470-nucleotide ribosomal RNA is filed under the name uncultured bacterium. Its description in RNAcentral is "SSU rRNA". It matches the Rfam family "Bacterial small subunit ribosomal RNA", at positions 26 to 518 of the family's 1533-position model. The record is from RNAcentral.
AGGACUAACGCUGGCGGCGUGCCUAACACAUGCAAGUCGAACGAGGGGUAGCAAUACCCCUAGUGGCAGACGGGUGAGUAACACGUAGUCAACCUACCUCUUAAUGGGGGAUAACUAGCCGAAAGGUUAGCUAAUACCGCAUACGAUCGUCGAGUGGCAUCACACGACGAUGAAAGGAGCAAUCCGUUGAGAGAGGGGACUGCGUCCCAUUAGUUAGUUGGUGGGGUAAUGGCCUACCAAGACUCCGAUGGGUAGCUGGCUUGAGAGAGCGACCAGCCACACUGGAACUGAGACACGGUCCAGACUCCUACGGGAGGCAGCAGUGGGGGAAUAUUGGACAAUGGGCGCAAGCCUGAUCCAGCAAUGCCGCGUGGGUGAAGAAGGUCUUCGGAUUGUAAAUCCCUUUCGGCGGGGACGAUGAUGACGGUACCCGCAGAAGAAGCUCCGGCUAACUUCGUGCCAGCAGCCGC